CAAUGGGCGAAAGCCUGAUGCAGCAACGCCGCGUAUGCGAUGAAGGCCUUCGGGUCGUAAAGCACUUUUCUGGGAGAUGAGAAAGGACAGUAUCUCAGGAAUAAGUAUCGGCUAACUACGUGCCAGCAGCCGCGGUAAAACGUAGGAGGCAAGCGUUAUCCGAAUUCACUGGGUGUAAAGAGCGUGCAGGCGGUUCGGUAAUUUGGGCGUGAAAUCUCCUGGCUCAACUAGGAGAGGUCGUUCAAUAAUACCGGACUUGAGAGUGGUAGAGGAAGAUGGAAUUCCCUGUGUAGUGGUGAAAUGCGUAGAUAUCGGGAGGAACACCAGUGGCGAAGGCGAUCUUCUGGACCAUUUCUGACGCUCAGACGCGACAGCUAGGGUAGCAAACG
This 389-nucleotide ribosomal RNA is filed under the name uncultured bacterium. RNAcentral's name for it is "bacterial SSU rRNA". It matches the Rfam family "Bacterial small subunit ribosomal RNA", at positions 369 to 774 of the family's 1533-position model. The record is from RNAcentral.